RNAcentral lists this ribosomal RNA (574 nucleotides) under Schwanniomyces occidentalis. RNAcentral's name for it is "eukaryotic LSU rRNA". It matches the Rfam family "Eukaryotic large subunit ribosomal RNA", at positions 52 to 642 of the family's 3401-position model. The record is from RNAcentral. Lineage: Eukaryota; Fungi; Ascomycota; Pichiomycetes; Serinales; Debaryomycetaceae.
GGAGGAAAAGAAACCAACAGGGAUUGCCUUAGUAACGGCGAGUGAAGCGGCAAAAGCUCAAAUUUGAAAUCUGGCACCUUCGGUGUCCGAGUUGUAAUUUGAAGAAGGUAACUUUGGGAUUGGCUCUUGUCUAAGUUCCUUGGAACAGGACGUCACAGAGGGUGAGAAUCCCGUGCGAUGAGAUGACCAAUCCUAUGUAAAGUGCUUUCGAAGAGUCGAGUUGUUUGGGAAUGCAGCUCUAAGUGGGUGGUAAAUUCCAUCUAAAGCUAAAUAUUGGCGAGAGACCGAUAGCGAACAAGUACAGUGAUGGAAAGAUGAAAAGAACUUUGAAAAGAGAGUGAAAAAGUACGUGAAAUUGUUGAAAGGGAAGGGCUUGAGAUCAGACUUGGUAUUUUGCAUUCCUUACCUUCGUGGUGGGGUUCCUUGCAGUUUACUGGGCCAGCAUCGGUUUGGAUGGUGGGAUAAUGACAUUGGAAUGUGGCUCUGCUUCGGUAGAGUGUUAUAGCCAGUGUUGAUACCGCCUGUCUAGACCGAGGACUGCGUCUUUGACUAGGAUGCUGGCAUAAUGAUCUUA